Phyllopteryx taeniolatus (common seadragon) is the source of this 1116-nucleotide long non-coding RNA. RefSeq lists it as uncharacterized. The record is from RefSeq and is a predicted model, not a curated record. The transcript has 2 exons. Lineage: Eukaryota; Metazoa; Chordata; Actinopteri; Syngnathiformes; Syngnathidae.
CUGAGUGUUUUUAUUUAUUUAAAAAAAAAAAAAACCUUUCCCAAAAGACCGCGAAGACCCGUCAGCGUAGUUGGACAGGCAUUAUGGGCUAGCUAGCUAGCUAGCUAUGCUAGGUUUAACUGCUAAGAUGGCCUACACUCGAAUGGAGUUUGAGUAGGACUACUCGUGUUUGUAGUUACUCUAACUAGUGUUUUAACCGCAGAACGUGUUCUGGGGGAAAAAAAAUGUGUACGCUUACGUACGGAAGCUACGAACGUGAAUUAUUAACUAAUAAUUGUUUUUGCCAGACGCCCCCUCUGCAUAGCGCUCCCACCCCCACCACUCGUGGAGUCUGCUAAAUGUAUGUAGAAUUAUUCACUCAUCAAAAAUCGCCUUAUGAAUGCAAUGCAGGUCAUUUAUAGUACAGUAUAUUGUUAACACACCAAAGGGUAACUAAACUGCCCAUUGAGAGACGAGUAGCACCUGGCACGUGACCGCCUUCUCUCCUCACGCCCCUUUUUCUUUCUGCAAGCGAAUCGAGUUGGGCGAAACAUUUAAGAGUUUGUGACCAAGUGUUGUGCGUUCAAUAAACCCGCGGUAGCUAAGGAUGCAGAAAGGAACAUCACCACCACAGUCAUAAAGAUUUACACAAUCUGAAAAGAUGGACAUGAGGAGCCAGAGGAUGUGGGAAUUGUGAUCGAGGGCAUUAAAGUCCGCAACAACGCUGGCAGUGUCAUCCUGGUGUUGAUCAUGCUGUUUGGGCUCAUCUGGGCACUUCAUCUAGUCUUUCCAGAAAAGUACACUUCUGAGUUUUUACAGACGAUCAUUAUGAACUUAGAUGGACCCAAGCUAAAAGCAAAGGUACAGCAGCUGAAAAUCAAACUUUUUUUCACAAGGGACAGUCAGGGUGUGUGCUCACAGUCCAAGACUGUCAUUGAAGAUGCUUUUCUAGUACUUAAAAUGUAUUGAUUCAAGAUACACUAACCUGCGUUGCUAUAUGAGUGACUGGACUCAAAGCUGUUUUAUACAACUACAAAGAAGCUUAAAAAUGUAAGCAUGUAAAGUUCAAAAUGCAUUUCCAAAGAAUGUAGUUUUAUUUUAAUUUUGUGAGUUUUCAAUAAAAACACAUUUACCAGA